UAUCACCCUGAAUGCGCCCGAUCUUGUCUGAUCUUGGAAGCUAAGCAGGGUCGGCCUGGUUAGUACUUGGAUAGGAGAAAUUCCUGUU
This 88-nucleotide ribosomal RNA is filed under the name Propithecus coquereli (Coquerel's sifaka). Lineage: Eukaryota; Metazoa; Chordata; Mammalia; Primates; Indriidae. The record is from RNAcentral.